AACGCACAUUGCGCCCCCUGGUAUUCCGGGGGGCAUGCCUGUCCGAGCGUCAUUACAACCCUCAAGCCUAGCUUGGUGUUGGGCUCCGCCGCCUGGCGGGCCCUAAAGUCAGUGGCGGUGCUGUCCAGCUCCGAGCGUAGUAAUUUCUCGCUCUGGAGGCCUGGGCAUGUGCCUGCCAACAACCCCCCAAUUUUAUCAGGUUGACCUCGGAUCAGGUAGGGAUACCCGCUGAACCUAA
RNAcentral lists this unclassified non-coding RNA (238 nucleotides) under uncultured fungus. RNAcentral's name for it is "partial contains 5.8S ribosomal RNA, internal transcribed spacer 2, and large subunit ribosomal RNA". The stretch from base 1 to 52 matches the Rfam family "5.8S ribosomal RNA", at positions 103 to 154 of the family's 154-position model. The record is from RNAcentral. Lineage: Eukaryota; Fungi.